AGAGUUUGAUCAUGGCUCAGGACGAACGCUGGCGGCGUGCCUAAUACAUGCAAGUCGAGCGAGCGGAACCAGCAGAAUCACUUCGGUGAGGACGCUGGGAAAGUGAGCGGCGGAUGGGUGAGUAACACGUGGGGAACCUGCCCUUAAGUCUGGGAUACCACUUGGAAACAGGUGCUAAUACCGGAUAAGAAAGCAGUUCGCAUGAACAGCUUUUAAAAGGCGGCGCAAGCUGUCGCUAAAGGAUGGACCCGCGGUGCAUUAGCUAGUUGGUAAGGUAACGGCCUACCAAGGCAGUGAUGCAUAGCCGAGUUGAGAGACUGAUCGGCCACAUUGGGACUGAGACACGGCCCAAACUCCUACGGGAGGCAGCAGUAGGGAAUCUUCCACAAUGGACGAAAGUCUGACGGAGCAACGCCGCGUGAGUGAAGAAGGUUUUCGGAUCGUAAAACUCUGUUGUCGGAGAAGAACAAGUAGGAGAGUAACUGUUCCUACCUUGACGGUACCCGACCAGAAAGCCACGGCUAACUACGUGCCAGCAGCCGCGGUAAUACGUAGGUGGCAAGCGUUGUCCGGAUUUAUUGGGCGUAAAGCGAGCGCAGGUGGUUUCUUAAGUCUGAUGUGAAAGCCCACGGCUCAACCGUGGAAGGUCAUUGGAAACUGGGGAACUUGAAUGCAGAAGAGGAGAGUGGAAUUCCAUGUGUAGCGGUGAAAUGCGUAGAUAUAUGGAGGAACACCAGUGGCGAAGGCGACUCUCUGGUCUGUUAUUGACACUGAGGCUCGAAAGCGUGGGGAGCAAACAGGAUUAGAUACCCUGGUAGUCC
This 821-nucleotide ribosomal RNA is filed under the name uncultured bacterium. Its description in RNAcentral is "bacterial SSU rRNA". It matches the Rfam family "Bacterial small subunit ribosomal RNA", at positions 8 to 796 of the family's 1533-position model. The record is from RNAcentral.